CCCCUGUCAGGAUCACACCUGGAGAGUUUCCAGGACUUUACCGGUCUCGGCUACAGAAGGGAGAGUCAAGCGGAGGCAUACUCAUUCCAUUCCUAGCUUGGACAGUGGCUAGCAAAUGGAAGGCAAUCUGCUACAAGU
Tachyglossus aculeatus (Australian echidna) is the source of this 138-nucleotide small nucleolar RNA. NCBI's taxonomy places the organism in Eukaryota, Metazoa, Chordata, Mammalia, Monotremata, Tachyglossidae. The record is from RefSeq and is a predicted model, not a curated record.